UAUGGAGAGUUUGAUCCUGGCUCAGGACGAACGCUGGCGGCGUGCUUAACACAUGCAAGUCGAACGGAAAGGCCUAGCUUGCUAGGUACUCGAGUGGCGAACGGGUGAGUAACACGUGGGUGAUCUGCCUCGUACUUCGGGAUAAGCCUGGGAAACUGGGUCUAAUACUGGAUAGGACCAUGCUUUAGUGUGUGUGGUGGAAAGUUUUUCGGUACGAGAUGAGCCCGCGGCCUAUCAGCUUGUUGGUGGGGUAAUGGCCUACCAAGGCGUCGACGGGUAGCCGGCCUGAGAGGGUGGACGGCCACAUUGGGACUGAGAUACGGCCCAGACUCCUACGGGAGGCAGCAGUGGGGAAUAUUGCACAAUGGGCGCAAGCCUGAUGCAGCGACGCCGCGUGGGGGAUGACGGCCUUCGGGUUGUAAACCUCUUUCGCUAGGGACGAAGCUUUUGUGACGGUACCUAGAUAAGAAGCACCGGCUAACUACGUGCCAGCAGCCGCGGUAAUACGUAGGGUGCGAGCGUUGUCCGGAAUUACUGGGCGUAAAGAGCUCGUAGGUGGUUUGUCGCGUCGUCUGUGAAAUUCCGGGGCUUAACUCCGGGCGUGCAGGCGAUACGGGCAUAACUUGAGUGCUGUAGGGGAGACUGGAAUUCCUGGUGUAGCGGUGGAAUGCGCAGAUAUCAGGAGGAACACCGAUGGCGAAGGCAGGUCUCUGGGCAGUAACUGACGCUGAGGAGCGAAAGCAUGGGGAGCGAACAGGAUUAGAUACCCUGGUAGUCCAUGCCGUAAACGGUGGGCGCUAGGUGUGAGGGUCUUCCACGACUUUCGUGCCGUAGCUAACGCAUUAAGCGCCCCGCCUGGGGAGUACGGCCGCAAGGCUAAAACUCAAAGGAAUUGACGGGGGCCCGCACAAGCGGCGGAGCAUGUGGAUUAAUUCGAUGCAACGCGAAGAACCUUACCUGGGCUUGACAUAUGCAGGAUCGGCGUAGAGAUACGUUUUCCCUUGUGGUCUGUAUACAGGUGGUGCAUGGUUGUCGUCAGCUCGUGUCGUGAGAUGUUGGGUUAAGUCCCGCAACGAGCGCAACCCUUGUCUUAUGUUGCCAGCAUGUUAUGGUGGGGACUCAUGAGAGACUGCCGGGGUUAACUCGGAGGAAGGUGGGGAUGACGUCAAAUCAUCAUGCCCCUUAUGUCCAGGGCUUCACACAUGCUACAAUGGUCGGUACAACGCGCUGCGAGCCUGUGAGGGUGAGCGAAUCGCUGAAAGCCGGCCUCAGUUCGGAUUGGGGUCUGCAACUCGACCCCAUGAAGUCGGAGUCGCUAGUAAUCGCAGAUCAGCAACGCUGCGGUGAAUACGUUCCCGGGCCUUGUACACACCGCCCGUCACGUCAUGAAAGUUGGUAACACCCGAAGCCAGUGGCCUAACCUUUGUGGGAGGAGCUGUCGAAGGUGGGAUCGGCGAUUGGGACGAAGUCGUAACAAGGUAGCCGUACCGGAAGGUGCGGCUGGAUCACCUCCUUU
This 1516-nucleotide ribosomal RNA is filed under the name Corynebacterium diphtheriae. Its description in RNAcentral is "bacterial SSU rRNA". It matches the Rfam family "Bacterial small subunit ribosomal RNA". Lineage: Bacteria; Bacillati; Actinomycetota; Actinomycetes; Mycobacteriales; Corynebacteriaceae. The record is from RNAcentral.